GGGGGCGGGGAGGUUCGACUCGAGCGAAGCGAGAGAACGUUGCGCCAGCAACGGCCCGCAGGGCGAGCCACGAAGUGGCGAGUAAUCCUCUAUCACCGACCA
Molecule: small RNA, 102 nt
Filed under: Escherichia coli
Lineage: Bacteria; Pseudomonadati; Pseudomonadota; Gammaproteobacteria; Enterobacterales; Enterobacteriaceae
Also listed under: 1 other name
Description: partial RtT sRNA
Rfam family: RtT RNA
About the family: This family represents a bacterial cis-regulatory element known as RtT RNA. The exact function of RtT is unknown although it is thought that it may be involved in changing the cellular response in relation to amino acid starvation.
Source: RNAcentral